AAUGAACGCUGGCGGCGUGCCUAACACAUGCAAGUCGCGCGCGAAAAGGGGGCAACUCCUGAGUAGAGCGGCGAACGGGUGAGUAACACGUGGGCAACCUGCCUGGGUGUGGGGGAUAACCUGGGGAAACUCGGGCUAAUACCGCAUACGUUCCCGGAGCUUCUGCUUUGUGAGGAAAGCUGGCCUCUGCUUGCAAGCUAGCGCACCCAGAGGGGCCCGCGCCUGAUUAGCUAGUUGGUGGGGUAACGGCCCACCAAGGCGACGAUCAGUAGCCGGCCUGAGAGGGCGAUCGGCCACACUGGAACUGAGACACGGUCCAGACUCCUACGGGAGGCAGCAGUGAGGAAUCUUGCGCAAUGGGGGAAACCCUGACGCAGCAACGCCGCGUGGAGGAUGAAGGUCUUCGGAUUGUAAACUCCUGUCAGAUGGGACGAACGCUUGCGGGCUAAUCACCGCAAGCUUGACGGUACCAUCAGAGGAAGCCACGGCUAACUCUGUGCCAGCAGCCGCAGUAA
This 515-nucleotide ribosomal RNA is filed under the name uncultured bacterium. RNAcentral describes it as "partial 16S ribosomal RNA". It matches the Rfam family "Bacterial small subunit ribosomal RNA", at positions 29 to 523 of the family's 1533-position model. The record is from RNAcentral.